GAUGAACGCUGGCGGCGUGCCUAAUACAUGCAAGUCGAGCGAACGGACGAGAAGCUUGCUUCUCUGAUGUUAGCGGCGGACGGGUGAGUAACACGUGGAUAACCUACCUAUAAGACUGGGAUAACUUCGGGAAACCGGAGCUAAUACCGGAUAAUAUUUUGAACCGCAUGGUUCAAAAGUGAAAGACGGUCUUGCUGUCACUUAUAGAUGGAUCCGCGCUGCAUUAGCUAGUUGGUAAGGUAACGGCUUACCAAGGCAACGAUGCAUAGCCGACCUGAGAGGGUGAACGGCCACACGGGAACUGAGACACGGUCCAGACUCCUACGGGAGGCAGCAGUAGGGAAUCUUCCGCAAUGGGCGAAAGCCUGACGGAGCAACGCCGCGUGAGUGAUGAAGGUCUUCGGAUCGUAAAACUCUGUUAUUAGGGAAGAACAUAUGUGUAAGUAACUGUGCACAUCUUGACGGUACCUAAUCAGAAAGCCACGGCUAACUACGUG
This 497-nucleotide ribosomal RNA is filed under the name uncultured bacterium. Its description in RNAcentral is "partial 16S ribosomal RNA". It matches the Rfam family "Bacterial small subunit ribosomal RNA", at positions 28 to 507 of the family's 1533-position model. The record is from RNAcentral.